Molecule: long non-coding RNA, 978 nt
Organism: Misgurnus anguillicaudatus (oriental weatherfish)
Lineage: Eukaryota; Metazoa; Chordata; Actinopteri; Cypriniformes; Cobitidae
Source: RefSeq, a predicted model, not a curated record
CUUUUCAGCUUUUGUCCAAUCCGCCUUGCUUUCCUUGUAGAUUGUGAACCCCAGGCCUGCCAGCAAGAUGGCUGCCCACACUGACAGAGGUAACAGAGGGAUGUAAUUGCCAACCAUCUUCCGGCGACCCGAUGUCCCCCAGCUGCUUUUGGUCAUGGAAGCACGCGUACGCCGCUUUCACCAGACCGAUGAGCUGGAUGCAGCACAAGACCCACAAGAUGUCCCAUAGAGUGCCGGUCCAGAAGACCUUGAUGAUGGUGGCAGUAACGAAAAAUGGAAAGAUGCCCGAGACGAUGGAUUCAUAGGUCAUCCACAGGGCUUUGGUAAAGAAUGUGCUCUUGGAGACGUUGAAGAUGAAGAUAAUUUCUGGAGGCUUCAGUAACCCUCGGAGAGAUGACCUUAACAGUAUUUAAAAUAUGUUUCUGUUUGGGUAAAGGAGAACAAGAAAUUAAUCUGCUGCAUUGCAUGCUCUGCACACUUUCUAGCAGGGCUGCUAACUGUUGAGUUCAACUUGGAGUGAGAUUUACUUAUGGGAGGGGGUGUUCGGGGGUGCAUAAAAGGCUUAUUCGCAGUAUUCGCAUCAUUUUGACUUUGACGAGCACUUUUAGACUGACGAUGAUUAAGUCAGACCAGGUAAAGAUAGGCUUUGUACAGUAUUUACAGUUAGGCAUAUUAAGCAAUUAUUUCAUGACUUUAUAUACCAUGGGGAUCUCAAUGGUGGGCACAAGCCUGCUUGAGAAAAUGGAUGUGUGGCGUGAGAGUGUGAGAAUGGGGUCAGUUGGGUGAGGGUUGGCAGCUCUGCUUUCUAGGUCAUGACAAAUCUGUUCCACAAAAUUGAAGUUUGUAUAUGAGAAGUUGAGAUGCAAAACCUUCUAAGUGCGUCUGACAUGAGCAUUUUUCUGACAUGAGCAUCUUGUGUUUAGGUUCAGUAAAUUCACUUUAAUGGCAAUGAAAAGGUUUUUCAGUUAUUGAAAUGCC